AGGAGAUCGCUGUGCUUUCUACCAUUAUCUUCUUAAUACUCUGCAUGGACUUUAUUUUAUUUCGCUUUUCUUGCUGCUGUGUUGUUGAAAGUACCAAUUUGAGUUCCCUGUGGUUAUAAUUGAGCUCUAAAAUCUCAUUCUAUCAUCGUUGAUCCAUCUUGUAUGGAGAAAGUAAGGGAUCAGGGGAAUAAGAAAGGGAUUUAUUUUUUAAUUCAAACUCCAAAUUUCUUAAAAUUAUUUAUGAGGUGUGGCCAUUUUCUUUUACACACCAACAAUUUAACAAAUUAAUAUCCAGCAAAAAAAACAAAAAAAAAAAACAGCACUUCAAUUGCUUAGACAUCAGCCCAAACAUCCUCACCAAACAAUCUGAUCUUUCUUUUCACUUCCAUUUUGAUCCAUGUUCCCGUAGCUUGGUUUUUCAUGGCCUCCUCAUGAAUUGUGACCUUAUCAUCCACUCGAAGACCCCUCUCACGAACAAAUUUAAUCCAACCCACAGAAAGAAAAUGUCCCAUACUCUCAUUUCUCUUGAUGGUGCAAGAGAAGAUCCAUUCCUGACCAUUACCAUCGUGAACAUGCAUGUUCAUCGACUGGCCUUCUUGGAAUGGUAAUGGACCAAGAGAACAACCAGGAAUAGACAAGCCAUUCUCAAUAUCAUCUGCAGUUAGAAACUUUGAAAAGACUAAUGCCAUUGCUUGCUUCAAAAAA
Molecule: long non-coding RNA, 705 nt
Organism: Populus euphratica (Euphrates poplar)
Lineage: Eukaryota; Viridiplantae; Streptophyta; Magnoliopsida; Malpighiales; Salicaceae
Exons: 2
Source: RefSeq, a predicted model, not a curated record